AUAAUUAGAACAAUAAUGAGGAAAAGAAAAUAAAAUUUUAGAACAGAAGUACCAAUGAAAAUUUUCAGCAAAGAAUGCACAAUGGUAAUUUUCAGCAAACACUGAACAACCAAUAUCCUCAAAUAUAACAACAAAUAAAUGCAAGGCAACUGCAAGAAAUCAGAAUAAUUUUGAUGCCAAAAACAAUGUCGACAAAAGGGUGUUGACCACCUUUCACCGACGCAACAUUGCUGGCAUUAGUGAAAAAUCAUUUCGACGUCGCAGAAAGUUUAAAAUUAAAUUUAAUAUCUUCAAUUUCCAACGUCAUUUAAUAUCUUCAAUUUUCGUGACACGACGUCGGGAAGGAAAGGGCUCCUGACGUUUUCGAAGACGAACAAGAAAGUUCACUCUAUUUCUUUCCCCUUCAACACACAAGGGGUUGUAAAAUGAAAGAAGAGAAAGAGGGAGAGGAGGAGAUCCAUACUGUCGUUCGUCCUUCUUUGUCGCCGCCACCAUUAGAGUGUCAUCUUCCCCUCUUUCUCCUCUGUCACUAUUUCUCACUCUCCCUCCCUCCUUUCCUCCACUUUCUCUCUCCCUCUCUGAAUCGCCCAUCUGCCUUUCUCAUUCUUGCUACUUUCUCUCUUUCUCUCUAAAUCGUUCAACUUCGUCCCUUCUUCAAUUUAUUAGCGAGUUUCUUUUGAUUUGUCUCCUUCUUGACUCUUUAAUUAGAGAUUGAUCGAACUUCCAAGUUUAGUCUCUCGAUGGAUUAAUCAUUAUAAAUCAUCUCUAAAUUGAAUUUGUUUUUUGAAAUAUUGGGAAGUAAAAGAAUGGAAUGGUGAAUGUCGACGUGAGCAAAUGAAUGGUGAAAAAAUAACAGAGACAUGAAAAACCAUAAAAAAUUUGUAAAUGGACCUCAUCAUCGAAAAAUAAAGUUAGAGUGAAAUCGAGAACCUCUAGCCCUAUUGUGCUCAUAAAUCUCCAAUGCCCACUCUUGAAUGUAGCAUCUGUCUAUUCUUAGGCACUAGGGUAGAGAUGCAGGAGUGGCAAGAGAAAGUCUGCGGGCGAUAAGGAUAUUUCUUGCAUGUUCACCGAGAAGACUCUUCUUCAAACAUGCAAGGAACUGUUUGGGAGGCAAGGUGAAAGCCCAACCAUUCAACGAAGCCAAAGAGAGGAAUGAAAAGGGUUUUAGAGGCAAUGCGUGUGCCAACGCUCAACUGUAAUCUGUAUAUUCUUGUUGACAAGAGGUCUCGGGUUCAAAUCUACAUCCACAUUUAUUACAAUACCUUUGCAAAAAAAAAACCUUCAACGAAACGAAUGACACAAAUUUCAAAGAUUUGGAGAGAAAGAGAACCCCAUUAGGAGAAGAAAUCGAACAUAACAAAAAAGAACGAAAUAACUUCGAAGAUGAAAACGACCACAAACCCAAACCCAAUCGUUUUGGAGAGGAAGACGAAAAGAGAAGUGGGAGUAGAGGAAGAACACGAGAAGCAUGAGGAAGUUUAAGGAUGAAGUAAAAAUGGAUUACCG
RNAcentral lists this long non-coding RNA (1506 nucleotides) under Cucumis sativus (cucumber). RNAcentral describes it as "long non-coding RNA (CSAT_LNC001308)". Lineage: Eukaryota; Viridiplantae; Streptophyta; Magnoliopsida; Cucurbitales; Cucurbitaceae. The record is from RNAcentral.